RNAcentral lists this ribosomal RNA (446 nucleotides) under uncultured bacterium. RNAcentral describes it as "bacterial SSU rRNA". It matches the Rfam family "Bacterial small subunit ribosomal RNA", at positions 331 to 793 of the family's 1533-position model. The record is from RNAcentral.
CCAGACUCCUACGGGAGGCAGCAGUGGGGAAUAUUGCACAAUGGGGGAAACCCUGAUGCAGCGACGCCGCGUGAGCGAUGAAGUAUUUCGGUAUGUAAAGCUCUAUCAGCAGGGAAGAAAAAAGACGGUACCUGACUAAGAAGCCCUGGCUAACUACGUGCCAGCAGCCGCGGUAAUACGUAGGGGGCAAGCGUUAUCCGGAUUCACUGGGUGUAAAGGGAGCGUAGACGGCCAUGCAAGCCUGGAGUGAAAGCCCGGGGCCCAACCCCGGGACUGCUCUGGGAACUGUGCGGCUGGAGUGCGGGAGGGGCAGGCGGAAUUCCUGGUGUAGCGGUGAAAUGCGUAGAUAUCAGGAGGAACACCGGCGGCGAAGGCGGCCUGCUGGACCGCGACUGACGUUGAGGCUCGAAAGCGUGGGGAGCAAACAGGAUUAGAUACCCCGGUAU